CCUACGGGAGGCAGCAGUGGGGGAUAUUGCACAAUGGGGGAAACCCUGAUGCAGCGACGCCGCGUGUGGGAAGACGGUCCUCUGGAUUGUAAACCACUGUCCCCAGGGACGAAGAUGACGGUACCUGGGGAGGAAGCUCCGGCUAACUACGUGCCAGCAGCCGCGGUAAUACGUAGGGAGCGAGCGUUGUCCGGAAUUACUGGGUGGAAAGGGAGCGUAGUCGGGACUACAAGUUAGGUGUCAAAUCUACCGGCUCAACCGGUCGCCGCACUCAAAACUGCAGUUCUUGAGUGAAGUAGAGGCAGGCGGAAUUCCUAGUGUAGCGGUGAAAUGCGUAGAUAUUAGGAGGAACACCAGUGGCGAAGGCGGCCUGCUGGGCUUUUACUGACGCUGAGGCUCGAAAGUGUGGGGAGCAAACAGGAUUAGAUACCCUUGUAGUC
This 440-nucleotide ribosomal RNA is filed under the name uncultured bacterium. RNAcentral's name for it is "partial 16S ribosomal RNA". It matches the Rfam family "Bacterial small subunit ribosomal RNA", at positions 338 to 795 of the family's 1533-position model. The record is from RNAcentral.